UACGUAGGGGGCAAGCGUUGUCCGGAUUUACUGGGUGUAAAGGGCGCGUAGGCGGAUCUAUAAGUCGGUGGUGAAAUCCUGCAGCUUAACUGCAGAACUGCCGUCGAUACUGUGGAUCUUGAGUUCGGAAGAGAGUAGCGGAAUUCCAGGUGUAGUAGUGAAAUACGUAGAUAUCUGGAAGAACACCAGUGGCGAAGGCGGCUACUUGGUCCGUAUCUGACGCUGAGGCGCGAAAGCGUGGGGAGCAAACAGG
This 253-nucleotide ribosomal RNA is filed under the name uncultured bacterium. RNAcentral's name for it is "partial 16S ribosomal RNA". It matches the Rfam family "Bacterial small subunit ribosomal RNA", at positions 524 to 776 of the family's 1533-position model. The record is from RNAcentral.